This 82-nucleotide small nucleolar RNA is filed under the name Erythranthe guttata (spotted monkey flower). Its description in RNAcentral is "Mimulus guttatus (spotted monkey flower) Small nucleolar RNA R38". It matches the Rfam family "Small nucleolar RNA R38". From Rfam's summary of the family: snoR38 is a C/D box small nucleolar RNA conserved across yeast, human, Arabidopsis and rice. It is encoded in the intron of elongation factor-1 gamma in both pombe and cerevisiae. snoR38 guides the methylation of 2'-O-ribose sites in 28S rRNA. Lineage: Eukaryota; Viridiplantae; Streptophyta; Magnoliopsida; Lamiales; Phrymaceae. The record is from Rfam by way of RNAcentral.
GUUUGUGGAUGAUGAGACAAACAAAUCACAGUUAUCCCUGUCUGAUACAAAUUCUGUUGAAAAGUUUGUGAUCUGACCAAAC